AAGUCGUAACAAGGUAACCGUAGGUGAACCUGCGGUUGGAUCAUUAACAAAUCCAAUUUUGCGCUUCUUAGCGCAUCCAACAUUUUGUGCACUGUAAUGUCUUUGGCGGGUUGCGUUGCUUGCUUUGAGAUUGGGGAAAUUUUUCCCAGCUCACAAGACGUCUGCCUCUACCUUUUUUCUGGUAGUGGUAGCCAGCCCGUCCGUCAAUCCCUUACCAGGGUUUGGCAACCAUAAACGCAAUGAAAUUUUUUUUUUUGUCUUAAUCCUUUCCACGAAAGCGGAAUUGUAUAUUUAAUUUAAAAACAACUUUUGACAACGGAUCUCUUGGCUCUU
RNAcentral lists this unclassified non-coding RNA (333 nucleotides) under fungal sp. Its description in RNAcentral is "partial internal transcribed spacer region". The stretch from base 1 to 46 matches the Rfam family "Eukaryotic small subunit ribosomal RNA", at positions 1786 to 1831 of the family's 1831-position model. The record is from RNAcentral. Lineage: Eukaryota; Fungi.